This 276-nucleotide long non-coding RNA is filed under the name Salvia miltiorrhiza (redroot sage). RNAcentral's name for it is "long non-coding RNA (SMIL_LNC001761)". Lineage: Eukaryota; Viridiplantae; Streptophyta; Magnoliopsida; Lamiales; Lamiaceae. The record is from RNAcentral.
UCUUCCCCGGUAUUUCGUUCCUGAUUUUCACUCUUUUGAAUUUCUUAUUGUGGGGUAGUCACAGCACAGGAGCAAUUCCUUUCUCUUUGUUUGUCAUCCUCAUUUUGCUGUGGUUCUGUAUAUCUGUUCCCCUCACCCUCGUUGGCGGCUACUUUGGUGCCAAGGCACCUCAUAUUGAAUACCCCGUUCGAACAAACCAAAUCCCCCGAGAAAUCCCACCACAGAAGUAUCCAUCAUGGCUGUUGGUUCUUGGGGCUGGUACCCUUCCUUUUGGCA